AUUGAACGCUGGCGGCAGGCCUAACACAUGCAAGUCGAGCGGAUGAAGGGAGCUUGCUCCUGGAUUCAGCGGCGGACGGGUGAGUAAUGCCUAGGAAUCUGCCUGGUAGUGGGGGAUAACGUCCGGAAACGGGCGCUAAUACCGCAUACGUCCUGAGGGAGAAAGUGGGGGAUCUUCGGACCUCACGCUAUCAGAUGAGCCUAGGUCGGAUUAGCUAGUUGGUGGGGUAAAGGCCUACCAAGGCGACGAUCCGUAACUGGUCUGAGAGGAUGAUCAGUCACACUGGAACUUAGACACGGUCCAGACUCCUACGGGAGGCAGCAGUGGGGAAUAUUGGACAGUGGGCGAAAGCCUGGUCCAGCCAUGCCGCGUGUGUGAAGAAGGUCUUCGGAUUGUAAAGCACUUUAAGUUGGGAGGAGGGGCAGUAAGUUAAUACCUUGCUGUUUUGACGUUACCAACAGAAUAAGCACCGGCUAACUUCGUG
Molecule: ribosomal RNA, 484 nt
Filed under: uncultured bacterium
Lineage: Bacteria
Description: partial 16S ribosomal RNA
Rfam family: Bacterial small subunit ribosomal RNA
Source: RNAcentral